CACGCCGUAAACGAUGAGUGCUAAGUGUUAGGGGGUUUCCGCCCCUUAGUGCUGCAGCUAACGCAUUAAGCACUCCGCCUGGGGAGUACGGUCGCAAGACUGAAACUCAAAGGAAUUGACGGGGGCCCGCACAAGCGGUGGAGCAUGUGGUUUAAUUCGAAGCAACGCGAAGAACCUUACCAGGUCUUGACAUCCCAUUGACCGCUAUGGAGACAUAGCUUUCCCUUCGGGGACAGUGGUGACAGGUGG
This 249-nucleotide ribosomal RNA is filed under the name uncultured Caryophanaceae bacterium. Its description in RNAcentral is "uncultured Planococcaceae bacterium partial 16S ribosomal RNA". It matches the Rfam family "Bacterial small subunit ribosomal RNA", at positions 796 to 1041 of the family's 1533-position model. The record is from RNAcentral. Lineage: Bacteria; Bacillati; Bacillota; Bacilli; Caryophanales; Caryophanaceae.